UACGUAGGGUGCAAGCGUUGUCCGGAAUUAUUGGGCGUAAAGAGCUCGUAGGCGGUUUGUCGCGUCUGCCGUGAAAGUCCGGGGCUCAACUCCGGAUCUGCGGUGGGUACGGGCAGACUAGAGUGAUGUAGGGGAGACUGGAAUUCCUGGUGUAGCGGUGAAAUGCGUAGAUAUCUGGAGGAAUACCGGUGGCGAAGGCGGCAUCCUGGACCGAUAUUGACGCUGAUGAGCGAAAGCCAGGGGAGCAAACGGG
RNAcentral lists this ribosomal RNA (253 nucleotides) under uncultured bacterium. RNAcentral describes it as "partial 16S ribosomal RNA". It matches the Rfam family "Bacterial small subunit ribosomal RNA", at positions 524 to 776 of the family's 1533-position model. The record is from RNAcentral.